Paramarasmius palmivorus is the source of this 81-nucleotide non-coding RNA. Lineage: Eukaryota; Fungi; Basidiomycota; Agaricomycetes; Agaricales; Marasmiaceae. The record is from the annotation of a GenBank genome assembly.
UCCCUGAUAGUCUAUCAGCUAUACACGCGCCUAGAGUUCCCAGUCAGCGCGUGAAGCUGGGUUCGACUCCCAGCCAGGGAG